This is a long non-coding RNA of Balaenoptera ricei (Rice's whale), 152 nucleotides long. RefSeq lists it as uncharacterized. Lineage: Eukaryota; Metazoa; Chordata; Mammalia; Artiodactyla; Balaenopteridae. The record is from RefSeq and is a predicted model, not a curated record. The transcript has 3 exons.
GGCUGCCGUUGGGCAUCGCACCAUCCAAGGCACAGGCACUGUACUUGGAACAUCUAGACACCCAAGGAAGAAAUGAUGCUUCUGCCUGCUAUAUCUUCAUUGAUAAAAAGGGACUCGGGGCUGAAUGUCUGUAGAGCACUGUAAAACUCCUC